CCUACGGGUGGCAGCAGUGAGGAAUAUUGGUCAAUGGGCGCAAGCCUGAACCAGCCAAGUAGCGUGAGGGAUGAAGGUUCUAUGGAUUGUAAACCUCUUUUAUAAGGGAAUAAAGUGUGGGACGUGUACUGUUUUGCAUGUACCUUAUGAAUAAGGAUCGGCUAACUCCGUGCCAGCAGCCGCGGUAAUACGGAGGAUCCGAGCGUUAUCCGGAUUUAUUGGGUUUAAAGGGUGCGUAGGCGGGUUGUUAAGUCAGCUGUGAAAGUUUGUGGCUCAACCGUAGAAUUGCCGUUGAAACUGGGAGGCUUGAGUAUAUUUGAGGCAGGCGGAAUGCGUGGUGUAGCGGUGAAAUGCUUAGAUAUCACGCAGAACCCCGAUUGCGAAGGCAGCCUGCUAGGCCAUAACUGACGCUGAUGCACGAAAGCGUGGGGAUCGAACAGGAUUAGAUACCCGAGUAGUC
Molecule: ribosomal RNA, 460 nt
Filed under: uncultured bacterium
Lineage: Bacteria
Description: partial 16S ribosomal RNA
Rfam family: Bacterial small subunit ribosomal RNA
Source: RNAcentral